GCACUAGUAGCUCAGCGCCUGUAAGCACCGGUCUUGUAAACCGGUUGUCGGAGGUUUAGUCCCCCCUACUGCU
This 73-nucleotide transfer RNA is filed under the name Eleutheronema tetradactylum (Indian salmon). RNAcentral describes it as "tRNA-Thr". It matches the Rfam family "tRNA". Rfam says of the family: Transfer RNA (tRNA) molecules are approximately 80 nucleotides in length. Their secondary structure includes four short double-helical elements and three loops (D, anti-codon, and T loops). Lineage: Eukaryota; Metazoa; Chordata; Actinopteri; Polynemidae. The record is from RNAcentral.